Pelobates cultripes (western spadefoot toad) is the source of this 296-nucleotide non-coding RNA. Lineage: Eukaryota; Metazoa; Chordata; Amphibia; Anura; Pelobatidae. The record is from the annotation of a GenBank genome assembly.
GUCAGAGUCCGUUCCGUGUCCAGGGAGUAUAGAGUUCAGAAAAGUUGGUUUGGAAGAUCAAAGGUUCGGUACACAGGUAGAUAUCACAGGGAGAUCGGAUGGCACUUAGAAACAAUUUGCUACAAAUUGACUGAGCAAUUUCAGAGCAGCCGCGGCUUCCCUUUAACGUGGCAGCGUCUGACUUCAGACUCAUGGGCGGGGUCCGAUUGGCGAAACCCAUAAGUGACUCCAAAGGAGUUCGCCGAUUGGUAAUGAUGAUAAUCUCUGAUCCGAGCACUGAUGUUGGCAAAAUAGCG